GACGAACGCUGGCGGCGUGCUUAACACAUGCAAGUCGAACGGAAAGGCCUGCUUUCCCUUGUGGAUUGCGGGUACUCGAGUGGCGAACGGGUGAGUAACACGUGAGUGAUCUGCCCCCAACUUGGGUAUAAGCCUGGGAAACUGGGUCUAAUUCCCGAUAGGACUGCAGGGUGGUGCCUGUGGUGGAAAACGAUUUUCUAGUGGUUGGGGAUGAGCUCGCGGCCUAUCAGCUUGUUGGUGGGGUAAUGGCCUACCAAGGCGGCGACGGGUAGCCGGCCUGAGAGGGUGGACGGCCACAUUGGGACUGAGAUACGGCCCAGACUCCUACGGGAGGCAGCAGUGGGGAAUAUUGCACAAGGGGCGGAAGCCUGAUGCAGCGACGCCGCGUGGGGGAUGACGGCCUUCGGGUUGUAAACUCCUUUCGACCGCGAGGAAGCCACCUGGUUGGAAGGGUGGUGACGGUAGUGGGAGAAGAAGCACCGGCUAACUACGUG
This 494-nucleotide ribosomal RNA is filed under the name uncultured bacterium. RNAcentral's name for it is "partial 16S ribosomal RNA". It matches the Rfam family "Bacterial small subunit ribosomal RNA", at positions 28 to 507 of the family's 1533-position model. The record is from RNAcentral.